Molecule: long non-coding RNA, 610 nt
Organism: Pomacea canaliculata
Lineage: Eukaryota; Metazoa; Mollusca; Gastropoda; Architaenioglossa; Ampullariidae
Exons: 3
Source: RefSeq, a predicted model, not a curated record
GCCAUACGCUACGACUGGAACACUCCUGAUAGUGCUGAGCUGUCUCCUGCUUCAAAGGGGGAUGGUUUUAUGAGCUAUAGAGAAUUCAAAGUUGGUCAACCCAGAAGUACUCCUAAGAACGUCGUCGAAGGACAGUUCAACUACUACGACAGACUGGAUGGCGAAUUCGAUGGCAGAAUAUCUUUGUCGGUUGCUCUUCGCAUGAUAAACGUCUUGGACGUAAAUAAGGACGGCGUAGUCACACUUAACGAAUAUCUAAAGGUCUUGCCACAUGUAAGGUCUUCAUAGAUUGUCUUUGUGAAUACAAUACAUAACUGUACGAAGUUUAGAAUGAUUCAGUCGUUAUGUGCUGAGAGUUCGUAAAUUAACCUAAACAUUGAUGAUUUACACAAGUGUUGUUUAGAAUACUUAAACUCUAGUUUUUCCACAUUCCUUUUUUAAAGUAUCUAUUUUUGUACAACAAACAAUAAAACCACUUGAUUUUUAAUUUAAAUAUGUCAGGUCUGUUAUAAGAAUCGGACCAGACAAUAUAAUUAAGUAAAUGAAAAUAAUUCAGAUAAAUAACGCAAUCAAGACGUGAAACAAAACAAUAAAAUGUUUGUAUUGAAAG